GAGUUUGAUUAUGGCUCACAACUAACGCUGGCGGCAGGCCUAAGACAUGCAAGUCGUACGAGAAAGAUCUUUCGGGAUUGAGUAUAGUGGCGAACGGGUUAGUAACGCGUGGGAACAUACACAGCACAGGGGGAUAACCAUUGGAAACGGUGGCUAAUACCGCGUACGCCCUAAGGGGGAGAGAGUAAUCGGUGUUGGAUUGGCCCGCGUUAGAUUAGUUAGUUGGUGGGGUAAAGGCCUACCAAGGCGACGAUUUAUAGCUGGUUUGAGAGGAUGAUCAGCAACACUGGAACUGAGACACGGUCCAGACUCCUACGGGAGGCAGCAGUCGGGAAUAUUGUGCAAUGGGGGCAACCCUGACACAGCCAUGCCGCGUGAGUGAAGAAGGCCUUAGGGUUGUAAAUCUCUUUCAGAUGUGAGGAUGAUGACGAUAGCAUCACAAGAAGCUCCGGCUAACUUCGUGCCAGCAGCCGCGGUAAUACGAAGGGAGCAAGCGUUGUUCGGAAUUACUGGGCGUAAAGGGCGUGUAGGCGGAUUAUCAAGUUAGGGGUGAAAUCCCGGGGCUUAACCUCGGCACUGCCUUUAAGACUGAUAAUCUAGAGUAUGUGAGGGGAUAAUGGAAUACCUAGUGUAGAGGUGAAAUUCGUAGAUAUUAGGUGGAACACCGGUGGCGAAGGCGAUUAUCUGGCACAUAACUGACGCUGAGGCGCGAAAGCGUGGGGAGCAAACAGGAUUAGAUACCCUGGUAGUCCACGCCGUAAACGAUGUAUGCUAGUUGUCGGACAUUGGUUCGGUGACGCAGUUAACGCAAUAAGCAUACCGCCUGGGGAGUACGGUCGCAAGAUUAAAACUCAAAGAAAUUGACGGGGGACCCGCACAAGCGGUGGGAGCAUGUGGUUUAAUUCGAANCAACGCGAANAACCUUNACCCACCCUUUGACAUUGGUAGUUNAGGGGNUAUUGGAGAACANUACCUUUUCA
RNAcentral lists this ribosomal RNA (980 nucleotides) under uncultured bacterium. Its description in RNAcentral is "bacterial SSU rRNA". It matches the Rfam family "Bacterial small subunit ribosomal RNA", at positions 9 to 1019 of the family's 1533-position model. The record is from RNAcentral.